This is a long non-coding RNA of Poecilia latipinna (sailfin molly), 5066 nucleotides long. RefSeq lists it as uncharacterized. The transcript has 2 exons. The record is from RefSeq and is a predicted model, not a curated record. NCBI's taxonomy places the organism in Eukaryota, Metazoa, Chordata, Actinopteri, Cyprinodontiformes, Poeciliidae.
AGGUGAUGAUGCAGCACUGAUGUUACUAAGCCAAAUGAGGAACGGAGUUUAAUUCACUCAAAAAAAAAAAAAAAGUCAGUGUGCUUUUAGAUGUGAAAUCCCAACACAUGAAGCUACAGUGAACCUCUCCCUAUUUGCAACUCAGUAUUCAUGGAUUCACCCAUUCUAUUUUUUUUCUGUGGAACAUAACUCCAAAUUAUUCCCACAAAGUGCCUGCUCACAGAUUUAUUUCGAUAUUUGUAUCUAAAAUAUUCAAAAGAAAAUGCCUCUUGGGAAGGUGAACCACCUUGGCACAGUUCUACUUGACAUGCUGUUGGCUUGCAUUUACAAAGCAGCCAAUCCAGGAGCCGAAUUUGUUUACCUUGGCACUGACUGCACAGGAAUGGAUAUAAGGAAAAAUGUAGAUAUUAUCAUCUGUGAUGGUGCUAGAGUGGUUUCCACUGUGUGCAUUAAUGCGUGUUAAAGCAGGUGUAUUUGGUGUUUGACCUAUUAAGGUAGUUGUAAGCGUAACCAGACAGAGUCUCAAUUAUUUGUGUUUUUUGUAGAUGGCUGUGGUUCCUAAUCCCCAUGAGUCCACUGUAUGUUCAGUUUUUCUUAAAACGUUUGGUUACAUGUUUACAUUUAGCCCACUAAUCAACAUCUAAAAACUUGAUUUAUAUACUAUGUCAAUUUCAUACCAAAUAUCCCAAUUUUAGCCUAGAUGUCCCAUUUUUUUUUUUUUUUUUUACGUUCACAUAUAGUUUAAACAUAUCAGUGGACAUAACUAACAUGGCAUUCAUUAGCAACAGCUGCCAAUGGCCAGAAGCAUAGCUUACUAGUUUCUAUGGCUAAGUGCUUAGCCCAUAGCAUGCUAGUUAGUUGGAAGCCAUGUCCCAACAUUAUGACAAGGUGGAAAGCAAACUCCUUUCUUUUUUACUGAAAACCACAGCUAGCUACAGAGCUCGCCUGGUGAUGUGGGAAAAAAAGGCAUAAAAAUUUGUGCUCACGACUUAAUAACUUGUGGGAACGAUUUUUUUUUACCACGACUUAAUUACUCAUGACCUCAACUUAUUUAUUUUGUGGGAAUGACCUAAAAUAACAAGUUGUGGUCAUAAGUAACUAAGCAGUGGCCAUGAAUUAAACAAGUUGUUCUCACGAGUUUUUAUUUUUCCUCCCAAUGUCCCCAUGGGUCCGUAUCUAAUGGGCCACUGAUUACGAACAAUUCCUCUAGUCUAAGACUUGAGCAUUAGCUCUGUUGAUAAAAUAGCUAAGCCUUUCUUUGCCCCAGCCUCAUCGCAGUUCUUAACGUGUAAAUAAUUUAGAUUUUCAUUCGUAGCAUAAUCCAUAUUCCCAUAUCAGCCUUAUUAUUCUCUGCUGGACACUGAACACAACAACUAUGAUUCACGUUUACAUUUAACAUUGUUAAAUUCAAAUUAAAAUGUAGCUAAAGUUGUUGAAAUGCAACCAAUUACUAAAUCAUACAUUUACAAACUGUUCUGCAAAAAUUAUUUAAAACGCAAAUAAUUACAUGACUAAUAUUUUAAAGCACAUAGCAUUCCUUUAUGUGCAUUGGGAUGGAGAUGAUUCCGUGUUGGACAAGUUCCUAGAGACACCAUGUGAUCCAUCAUCCUGCAUAACAAGCAGCACACAGAACCCCAGUGAACAAACAAGGCAAGAUAAAGAUCUGCAUGUGUGUAGAGAUUAAUAACAGGCUGCUUAUGUCAGGGGAAAAAUAUUAUUGAUGCAGAGGCUCUAGAAAAGUACCAAGCUAAGAAGUGAAGCAUAUUUAUGUGGAUGGAGGAAAACCUGUCAGGAUGGCAGGAAAUGAAAGUAGUGAUUGUUGUUUAAUAUUUGUUAAUAUGUCAUAAAUCUGCGUUACUCAAAUAGAGGCUGGGGAGGAAGUUGAAUGGAGGACAGGAGAGAGGGGAGGUGUGUUGAGCAAAGAUAAAGAAUGAAAAAACCUGUGAUAAAUGUGUUUAUCUGUUUUCUUCCUUAGGUUUCAUAUCCUGUGUGGGCCCAACUGUGUUUCCUGCUUGCUGAUGACGCAGGGAAGCUGGUGGUGUCUGUGUAUCUUGCGUCUGCGUUUCUUAUAUCUACAUUGUGGAAAUCUGUUAUAUCACCAAGCAUGUCGGUUAGGCAAGCAGCGUCUGAUCUCCCGCAGCCAGAGUUUCAUCAAGCAUGUGAAUGGGUGUCAGUCAGGACUUCCAGACCACCUGUGGGACGGUUGGUUAUUAAGGCACAGCUGGGUGUGCUUUCAUUUUAAUUGGCAAUGUUACAUUGUGCUGUGUCUGAAGGAAUGAGAAACGAAUGCAGGGAAUAGAGAUACAUUUCCAGAAGGGGUUUAAAGAUAAAAGCAAUAAAAAUGUAAACGUAUUGUGCUUAAAACUUGGAAAACUGUAAAAUGUGUCAGCUUAAGAGCCUUUUAUAGUGCAUACCUAGUGUGUAGCGCAAAAGUAUUCAUGCCACGUUAUAACCACAUGGCUUUAAAAUGGGAUUUUAUCUGAUGGCUGACACAUAAUUAAGUUCAAAGGAGAAUGUUAGUAGACCUCACCUACUAAUUAACUCUACUAAUUAGUUGUGUCUGUAUCUGUACUAAAAAUAUCUGUAUUGUACAGAUGUUUUGUAUAGAUGUUUAUGUUUGUUAGAUAAUCUCAGAGAGCUAAUAGCAUAAUUGUGUCAAAGAACACAGAGAAAAUGUAUUUUUUUUUACAUUUUAUUUAAAUUUUAAAAAAUGUCUCUUUUAAGUUUUCCGAUGCCCGUUUAGGAUACAAGUCGUUCGCAAAAGGUACUCUGGUCAGAUGAGACAAAAGAGUAACUUUUUGACCCAUACAGAAAUAUUUUUAAGUUGUAGCAGUCUUAUGCCUUUCAAAACUAGACUUAACUCCAGUUGAGAAUCUGCUGAAAACACAAUGUUUGCCAUGCAAACACUCAAUCAAAUCUCACUGAGUUUGAGAUAUUUUGCAAACAAGAACGAGCAAAAAAAAAAAAAAAAACAAAAAGAGAGAAAAAAAAAUAUAGAGCUGUCCCCAAAGACCUGCAGCUGUCAUUGGAGAAAACGUUAGUUCUGGAAAUUAUUGACUCAGGUGGUUGAAUAUAAAUGCUGACAUAUUUUUAUUUCCAAGAAAAUGUGACGCAUGUAUCCUUUUUGUUUUUCAUUAGAUCCCAAUAAAAAGCCUGAAACUUGUUGAACCUUUUACUGCGAAAAGGUUCAAGGAGCAAGCAUGCUUUUGUAAAGCACUGUUGAAUGCGGCUCGGGUGUUUGUCACUUCACAAAGGUAAAAGGUCACCUUUUCUCAGAAUCAGGUCAACUUUAUGGCAUUAAUUAGAUUUUUAGGAAACUCUUCUGCCAACUACAUCCUGCACAUUGUAUGACAUUGAAGCUUUGAAGUCUUGUGCACAAUAUGCAAAUUUGUACAACACUGAUCAGAUAUAUUCUCUACUAUUGUAACAAUUUCAAUGAUAGAACAUCAAAGGGCUUGCAAGGAACGCACAAUCGAAAAUGACUUAAAAAUAUUUAAAUAAAAUAAACAGUAAGAAUGAACCAAGAAUGACAUAUCUGGCAGUGCUUAGCAUGCCUCAAAAAUAGACUACUGCAAGAAAUGCAGGAGAAAGAUUUUUUUUUGUUUUUGUUUUUGUUUUUUCAUGGUAACAACAGUUCCCUGACCCAAAGAUUAUUGAAAAUCGAAGACAAACCUCAAAAGAACGGUGCAUUAAAGGCUUGAAAAUUUCACUGAACAGGAAAAGAAAAAGUGAAAAUCCACUAAGUCAGAACUUGAAAGUCUCAUGGAGCCUUUCAACAGCUCCCACAUUCCUGGAACAUUUCCACAAAGUGUAUUAUAUCGGGAUGCUAUGUGACAAAGCAAAUACGAGCAAUUUCAUGGUUGUUAAGUGGAAGGAAAAUGAUUCAUGGAUUUUUUUUUUAACUCAAACAUCUGAAAACUGUGCGAGACAUUUCCAUGCAACCCUCCUGAGUCAAAUCCUUAUAGAAGCACAUUUUGGUGAACAAAGCUGAAAGACUUUUGGGCUGUGUCAUCACCAGCUUUGCAAGCUGAGAGGCAGAAUAGGUUGUGCCAAUUCUUUAUAGAAAGUGCUCAGACAGACUGAGCUCUGCCCAUGUCAAUUGAUUUGCAGACUGUAAUUCCAGGAUCGUCGUGUGUUUAUCUACAUUAAUCUUUCCCUGUUCUUAAAGAAAAUCUCUCCCACAACAUGAUACCAUGUAUUAGUUUCUUCCAAACAAAAAGAAUACAUUAAAAUAACUUCAGUGUAUCUGACCAAAGCACCUCCUUGCACACAUUGCUCUCAGAUUUGUGGAGGACUAAAAUUUGUCCUGCCAACGUGUGACUUCUGAAGUUAAUGCACAAAUAAACAUGAAAAGCAUGUCUUUUCCUUUCACUUAACAAUUAUGCACCUCAUUGUAUUGGUCUUCCUUUUAAAAGUCUUUGCAAGUUUAUUGAGGAUAUUUUUAAGUUGUCUGAAUUUUUUUUACUUUAAUAGAAACUGCUGUCUGAGCUGAAAUGUGACAGUUUAAACCUAUAGAGACUUUUGCAAUUAAAGCGAUGUGUUCUAUUUGUUACAUUACUUUGAUCUUGUCAUCAUUUCAAGGGGCUUAUUUUUUGUUUGCCUGUCCCCUCAAAGCAUAACCAUGCAAUGAAACUCUAGAGACAUUCUCUUGAUAAACCGCAAUACUUAUCUGAACACCAGUAAAGCCAUAAAGUCUGGUAUAAAAUACUCCGAUUCCUCUCAUAUUCGCAGACAUUCUGAGCUGGAUUUUAAAGCACCGCCAAAAGCACAAAAAAGUUCCCUGGGGUCUGAAGGAGAGAUAGCGAAAAGAAAGGAUCAGAGAAGAAAGUUGGAGUUUAAAGUGGAGGAAUGAGCAGGAGAAAAAAGCCUGCAGGAAUGAAGAGCAGCUGUUGAGCGUUGCUCCCUCCUCUGAGAACUUCUAUACAUGCUACAGGCUCCUGCAACUGGCUCACGCUACAUUACAGCAGCUGUCUGAAAAAAAAAAAAAAAAAAAAAAAAUCAACACACUGUAGUGUCUUUCUUGAUUAUCUACACUUUAAAACACAUUAUCCACACAUUUAAAAAAA